Molecule: long non-coding RNA, 200 nt
Filed under: Setaria italica (foxtail millet)
Lineage: Eukaryota; Viridiplantae; Streptophyta; Magnoliopsida; Poales; Poaceae
Description: long non-coding RNA (SITA_LNC004601)
Source: RNAcentral
UUAUUAGAAUGGAAUUCAAUUCUUAUAGCACGCUCUUAGACUCGCUUCUCUAUAGUAGAAGUGCAGCAUACAAGUAUCUCUCCCAUAUCACCAACUAUAAUAUACAACUAUAUUCCACAUACAAUUAUAUUAGCUUAAUUAAUUUGUGUCUAAAUUAUAAUUAUUAGGAUGGAAUUCAAUUCCAAUGAUCCAAACGAGGC